CUCGGUGGGAGAUUUGGUUAGGGUAGUGAAACUUACUACCGGAGCUAUAGCCUUUUUCCCCUGAUAGGCUUAGCGACGUGUUUCAUUUUUGGAAUAUGUUGGGCAUUGUUAAUGUUUGUUAUUUUUGUGUGGUGUCUGUGGACUGAGCAGUUGUCUCGGGAGCACAUCCGUGGCUUGGUGGAAUCUACCAGCGUGCUGGGGGGUUACUUCCUCGCCAGCGGGCUACAGUGCAUAAUUACCCACCGCAAAUCUGCAUGAAGACUAGGGUUGAGUUAUUGUAGGUUUUGGGGAAGCUCCAUAUCUCAUCUCUUUUCUGUGGUACCAGUGUGAUUGUUUUUUCUCUUGUUGUGGUCUGAUGUGCUCAGAGGGGUUGAGUGAGAUUUUUUUUUUUUCUCUCCCUUUCCUCUCUCUCUCUGACUAUGGCGUCUAAUGUAGACGAGUUCAUUCGCUUUCCAUCAGAGGAACUGUUAGACGUAUGUACUAAAGAACAGCUGUUGAAGGUUGCUGAACACUACAAAAUUGAAAUUAGUGAUAAACGUCUAAAAAAUUCCAUUAGGUUAAUAUUGAAGGCCAAUCUGAUGGAGAGUGGUAUUCUUGAAGUUACCACUGGGGCAGCCUCUGCUGAGGACUCGCCGUCUCCCCGAUAUGUCACAAUUACCACUCCAUCGGUUAGUCCUAGUAAUCUUCUUUUUGAACAGCAGAAAGAGCUGCUUCUGUUACAGCAAGAGCACGAUCGUGAGAAGCUAGAGUACGAUCGUAUGAAAUAUGAAAAGGAAUUGGCUGCUGAUCAGUUAAAAUAUGAAAAGGAAUUGGCUGCUGAUCAGUUAAAAUAUGAAAAGGAAUUGGAAUUUAAACAGGAUAAGGAGCGUGCAGAUCGUGUAAAAUAUGAAAAGGAAUUGGCUGCUGAUCAGUUAAAAUAUGAAAAGGAAUUGGCUGCUGAUCAAUUAAAAUAUGAAAAGGAAUUGGAAUUUAAACAGGAUAUCGAGCGUGCAGAUCGGUUAAAACAUGAAAAGGAAUUGGAAUUUAAACAGGAUAUGGAGCGUGCAGAUCGGUUAAAACAUGAAAAGGAAUUGGAAUUUAAACAGGAUAUCGAGCGUGCUAAAAUCAAGCUGCAACAAGAGCGACUAGAGUUGGUUAGGGAAGGAAAGCUCUCAGGAGAGAGUUUGCUCUGGGAAGGUGACCCAGAAUUACUUAGGAAUCGUUCCUCUUUUGGUCGUGCCCCGGACACAUUUGACAUUGUUGGGAAUUUACGGUUGUUGCCUCAGUUUAAUGAAAAGGAUCCUGAGACAUUCUUUUUGUUGUUUGAGCGUGUUGCUAACGCUAGGAGUUGGCCUGAUUCUGAUCGCGCUUUGAUGUUGCAAUGUGUGCUGACUGGUAAAGCGCAGGAAGCAUAUUCAGCUCUUAGUGUAGCCGACAGUGUCAUUUAUGAUAAGGUUAAAACGGCGGUGUUACAGAUUUACGAAUUGGUUCCUGAGGCUUACCGCCAACGAUUUAGAACUUUAAAAAGGGAUGAUAAACAAACUCAUGUUGAGUUUGUGCGACAAUUAUCUUCACAGUUUAAUCGCUGGUGUUCCGCCUCUGCAGUUAUGACUUUCCAAGGGCUGUGUGAGCUGAUUAUGUUAGAGCAAUUUAAGGACACAGUCCCUGAUCGUAUAGCCACAUAUAUUAACGAACGGAAAGUUAAAACUGUCGCUGAAGCUGCGGUUUUGGCAGAUGAAUAUGUUUUGACUCACAAAACUGUUUUUGUAGAGCCCCGUAUACGGAGUGAGUGGAGACGUUCGGAGAGAUUUGGACCUCGGUCACCGAGAUACUCUGGUUCACGGGCAGAGUUUUAUUCAACUAGGGUUGAGCCUGACUCCCGUGGUAAAACUGACUUUGGUCAAGAGUGUCACUACUGUAAAAGCUCAGGUCAUUGGAAAAACGAAUGUCCGGUUCUUAGGUCUAGGGAUAAGUUCAGUACAGGUACUUAUGUUAAAUCUAAGCCUACGG
This is a long non-coding RNA of Salmo trutta (river trout), 1989 nucleotides long. The record is from Ensembl. Lineage: Eukaryota; Metazoa; Chordata; Actinopteri; Salmoniformes; Salmonidae.